UUAAAAAGUUUAUACCCAGUUUCUAGGAAUUG
RNAcentral lists this non-coding RNA (32 nucleotides) under Mus musculus (house mouse). Lineage: Eukaryota; Metazoa; Chordata; Mammalia; Rodentia; Muridae. The record is from RNAcentral.